Molecule: small nucleolar RNA, 388 nt
Filed under: Anabas testudineus (climbing perch)
Lineage: Eukaryota; Metazoa; Chordata; Actinopteri; Anabantiformes; Anabantidae
Description: Small Cajal body-specific RNA 2 (ENSATEG00000029746.1)
Rfam family: Small Cajal body-specific RNA 2
Source: Rfam by way of RNAcentral
GUUCCUGGCCUUAAACGUGACCCGGAUCUUCCUCCGUCUUCAUUGUUUGAAUGGAGCGACUGUGAGUGUGUUUGGUGACUGCUUGAGUGAGUGAAUGUGGUGUGUUUGAGAGUGUGAGUGUCUUCUUUUUUAUUUUAAUCUUAAAACCUACACACUGAUCUUAUUUGAUCUGGUCGGAGUCCGGCUCUGCUCUGAUCGGAGAUGAUAUGAAAAGCGCUCGCAAGCCUCCGCGGCGAUGAGCAGCAGGCGAGAUGUUAACUCCCGGGGCCUCCACGCUUCGUGCUGUGGUCAGAGGUGAUGAAUUGAUCAGAUAUACUAGUUCUGGCUGAGUUUGAGUUAAUCUCAAACUUCACUAUGGACAAUGAGUAGAGAGGCGAUUCUGAUCUAA